CGCGCCCCUUCCCGGCCUCCCCGAACCCUAACCCUAGCGUGCCCGCCGAUCACCGCCCUCACCUCCCGCCGCCGGCCGCCGCCCUCUGCCCCGGAGAGAGACGCCCUACGCGGCGCAUGGAUUUGCCGCACCCACCUGCCGCGGUCGCAGCACCUCGGUCCGCGCCCCGCCGGCCGCCUCCGUGCCCUGUGCCUGCCCGUCAGCCGCUGACCGCCGCCACCACCUAUGGCUCGCCGCCGUAAAGGUUUAGCCUGGUGCUCCGGCGGCGCAAACCCGGAUCCCCGCCGGGCACGCGCCGGUCCUCCCUCUCUCUGUCACCCGGCGACGCCCCUCUCUCGCUCCUCACAGCCACAGCCACCCGCGCCGCCGCUGCCGCUACUGCUGACCCAUAGCGGAAGGCCUGUUGGCGGCUCCACCCCUCCCCGUUGGCGAAGGAAGGGGGCGGCGCCGGGCGGCAUGACACGGAGGCCGCUCGCCUUCCGCCAGGCGCCGCACUGUCCAUCGCUGACCCCUCCGCCUCCAACUGUGCACGGCGGUCCCGGCUGGCUCACCACAGCGCACCUCCGGCGGGAUGACAACACCAAGCUCAGGCGCGCCGCUUCGAGUUGUGCUAUGGGGCCAUCAAAUCGACAACGCCCUGGGAGGGAUUGGUUUUCCCUGCCAUGGAGGCGCACCCAAAUCUGAUUUCUCUCUCCCAACCCCAUCAAUUUGCAUCUUGAUUGAUGGCCGUUGAGCCCCUGGUGUCUUGGACCCAGAUUUCUAUCUGAUUUUUUUUGCAUCAGGGCAUAAAUUGAUCUACUAGGUCUUUAUUUUUUAUUUGUUGUUGAUCGUUUUCUCUCCCGAAAUCACCUGUUACCUUCCCAAUAUUGGAAUUGAAAUCCUUCCUGUGCGCUCUUUUCUUUUCUAUAAAAUUAAAUUGCAAAUCCUAACCCUAGCCAUUUAUGUACUCAUAUUUCUCUACAGAUCUCAGCAAGCGUCAAUGAGAUUGCCGGACUUCAAGGGAGCAUCAGUUGGAACUAUUUUUGGAAAUUGUAGCUUUCAUGACACAUCAGGUAGUAGAAAUUAUGUACUUGCUUUGUCAAUAACUUAUUUCUCAAUACUUCCCUCAUUUUACUCAAACCUGAUCACCUGGGUCAAGAUGGGAUGUCAAUUGGUCACUAAACCUUUAGGGACUCCAUAAUUUGAACUACAAAAUUGUAGAGCUCCAAUAUGGGUUUUUAUCACAAGUUAAUAGUUAUGUUCUACACCUUCUCUUGAUAUACUUGAGAUGGAGAUCCUAUCCAGUAUUGAUUUGCAUACAUCUCAAACCUGUGCUGCUGUGCACAUUCAGAUAUAUGGGUUCCAAUAUGUGUCAUGUCUCAGAUUAAUACAACUUAUUUUAGUACAAUAGUAGAAUUUUAGAAGAUACGAAGGUGAAGUCACUUCAGCCUAAGCAUAAUAGAUCUCUCAUUUUAAGCCAUGAUAAGUUUGGUCUAUUUUUAUUUCCUCUUUUUUUUGCAGCAUUUUCUUCCCCUGCCAAUAGCGGAUUAUUUGUUCCAUUCGAUUUUGAAUGUUGCUCCAUCGAUUCCUGCUUACUUACACUUCAGCUAGGGAAGUAAGCAUGCAACUUUGUACUAAUGGACUUCGAGAUGAUCAGUAUAAGGAGGAGACAAUAAUAUAUCAUCGUAGCUGGCAUCAUUUUUGCUUAAGUGAACCUUCAGUGUAGAUGUACUUUUACUUCAUGCCUAUAGUGCCGUUCCUGCUUAUGUUUAUUUUUUUUCCUUCAAUUAUUUUGGUUGGCAUUCCUCAUAGGAUAUUCAUGAUCUGUGUACAAGAAUCCAUGAUCUUAAUACCAAAAGGUAGAUAUGGAAAUCAUGUUUCCAUAAA
Panicum virgatum (switchgrass) is the source of this 1866-nucleotide long non-coding RNA. RefSeq lists it as uncharacterized. NCBI's taxonomy places the organism in Eukaryota, Viridiplantae, Streptophyta, Magnoliopsida, Poales, Poaceae. The record is from RefSeq and is a predicted model, not a curated record. The transcript has 3 exons.